UACGUAUGGAGCAAGCGUUAUCCGGAUUUACUGGGUGUAAAGGGAGCGUAGGCGGUGCGGCAAGUCUGAUGUGAAAUUCCGGGGCUCAACCCCGGGGCUGCAUUGGAAACUGUCGGACUGGAGUGUCGGAGAGGUAAGUGGAAUUCCUAGUGUAGCGGUGAAAUGCGUAGAUAUUAGGAGGAACACCAGUGGCGAAGGCGGCUUACUGGACGACAACUGACGCUGAGGCUCGAAAGCGUGGGGAGCAAACAGG
This 253-nucleotide ribosomal RNA is filed under the name uncultured bacterium. Its description in RNAcentral is "partial 16S ribosomal RNA". It matches the Rfam family "Bacterial small subunit ribosomal RNA", at positions 524 to 776 of the family's 1533-position model. The record is from RNAcentral.